RNAcentral lists this ribosomal RNA (585 nucleotides) under uncultured bacterium. RNAcentral describes it as "partial 16S ribosomal RNA". It matches the Rfam family "Bacterial small subunit ribosomal RNA", at positions 355 to 1375 of the family's 1533-position model. The record is from RNAcentral.
UGGGGAAUUUUGGACAAUGGGCGAAAGCCUGAUCCAGCAAUGCCGCGUGUGUGAAGAAGGCCUUCGGGUUGUAAAGCACUUUUGUCCGGAAAGAAAUCCUUGGCUCUAAUACAGUCGGGGGAUGACGGUACCGGAAGAAUAAGCACCGGCUAACUACGUGCCAGCAGCCGCGGUAAUACGUAGGGUGCAAGCGUUAAUCGGAAUUACUGGGCGUAAAGCGUGCGCAGGCGGUUUGCUAAGACCGAUGUGAAAUCCCCGGGCUCAACCUGGGAACUGCAUUGGUGACUGGCAGGCUAGAGUACGGCAGAGGGGGGUAGAAUUCCACGUGUAGCAGUGAAAUGCGUAGAGAUGUGGAGGAAUACCGAUGGCGAAGGCAGCCCCCUGGGCCAAUACUGACGCUCAUGCACGAAAGCGUGGGGAGCAAACAGGAUUAGAUACCCUGGUAGUCCACGCCCUAAACGAUGUCAACUAGUUGUUGGGGAUUCAUUUCCUUAGUAACGUAGCUAACGCGUGAAGUUGACCGCCUGGGGAGUACGGUCGCAAGAUUAAAACUUAAAGGAAUUGACGGGGUCAUAGCUGUUUCCU